CUACGGGUCGCUGCAGUGGGGAAUUUUGGGCAAUGGGCGAAAGCCUGACCCAGCGACGCUGCGUGGACGAUGAAGGUCUUUGGAUUGUAAAGUCCUUUAUGGGGGAGUAAGACAUGACCGAGGAAAUGCGGUUGUGUUUGCAAGUACCCCAUGAAUAAGCCCUAGCUAACUACGUGCCAGCAGCUGCGGUAAUACGUAGAGGGCAAGCGUUGUCCGGAAUCACUGGGUGUAAAGGGUGUGCAGGCGUUUUCAUAAGUGAAUUGUGAAAUCCCGGAGCUCAACUCCGGAACGGCAGUUCAUACUGUGAAAAUCGAGGUCAUGAGAGGAAAACAGAAUUCCCGGUGUAGCGGUGAAAUGCGUAGAGAUCGGGAGGAAUACCAAUGGCGAAGGCAGUUUUCUGGCAUGAUUCUGACGCUCAUACACGAAGGCUAGGGGAGCAAACAGGAUUAGAUACCCUGGUAGUC
Molecule: ribosomal RNA, 464 nt
Filed under: uncultured bacterium
Lineage: Bacteria
Description: partial 16S ribosomal RNA
Rfam family: Bacterial small subunit ribosomal RNA
Source: RNAcentral